GUUUUCGGAUGACUGCGCGAAAUGAUACCCAAAGUUACUUUGAGCAUCUGUUUCGUGAGGAAAGUCCAGGCUCGUGCGGUGCUGAGAUGCCCGCAGUGAUUGUGUCAGGCGAACAAAUAAGCCUGAGUAGGAGCGUCACUCCUAACGGCGGAGAUGAGAGCUAAGGUUUUUACUAUGCUUGAUUUUCUGUAAAGUGCCAAAGAGACGAUGUCGGCUGGAAACAGUCGAAGUGGAACGUGGUAAACCCCUCAAACGAGCAACCCAAACAUAUGGUAGGGGCAUUCUGGCAGCCGAAUUGAAGGCGUGCCGGAGAUUGCGAAAGCAAUAGACAGAUGGUUAUCGAAUGUAAAUCUAAACAUUUACAGGAACAAAACUUGGCUUAUAGAA
RNAcentral lists this RNase P RNA (387 nucleotides) under Lactococcus sp. dk310. RNAcentral's name for it is "RNase P RNA component class B". It matches the Rfam family "Bacterial RNase P class B". From Rfam's summary of the family: Ribonuclease P (RNase P) is a ubiquitous endoribonuclease, found in archaea, bacteria and eukarya as well as chloroplasts and mitochondria. Its best characterised activity is the generation of mature 5'-ends of tRNAs by cleaving the 5'-leader elements of precursor-tRNAs. RNAcentral also lists the same sequence under 2 other names. Lineage: Bacteria; Bacillati; Bacillota; Bacilli; Lactobacillales; Streptococcaceae. The record is from RNAcentral.